This 814-nucleotide long non-coding RNA is filed under the name Olea europaea subsp. europaea. Lineage: Eukaryota; Viridiplantae; Streptophyta; Magnoliopsida; Lamiales; Oleaceae. The record is from RNAcentral.
AGGGACUCAAAAUUCUGAGGUCAGGCCUUAUUUCAAAUCAAUGGAAAUAAAGAUUGGAGAUGUAAUAAAAGCAUACCAUGAUUUUUUGAUGGUGGUAAAAUGCCCUACGAAUUUUGGGGGCAGCCUUGAAACUAUGUUGAAAAAGAUUUCUUCAGGAAAUGCUUCUUAUCAUCUUUUUUCUUGAUGAUUUGUGACAUUGCUUUUGCUCAUCCAGGGCUACCAAACAACGAAGCAGAAGAUUAAUCAAAUUAUAAAAAAUAAAGUUAAAACAUUUUAAAAAUGAACAAAAUACCUUAAAAAUGAAUAAAAUACCAAUCAAUGUCAUACCUUAUAAUCUUCAGUUAAAUCCAUAGUUCAGAUGAGGGUUGGGAUUAACCUGUAUAUUUAUUUCUAAACAGAGUUCAAACGUUCAUUUCUCUUUCGAGUCAUCAUCCUAAUAUAAGGAAGAGACUGACAGCAACAGGCCAAUAUGAAUUGGGGCUGGAAAAUUGUAUAGAAAACUUAAAAUCUAAAUUUUAAGGUAAAUAAAAAUAUAAAAUUUUUUAAAACCUAAUAAGAGACCGACCAUUUCCCUGUCUGGAAUAAAAUCUAUUACAUGAUACAAAUAAUUUUUCAAUAACUAAUAAGAGACUGACCAUUACCCUGUCUGGAAUCAAGUCUAUUACGUGAUGAUAAAAUUCAAAGUUCCAAAACUCCACAGAUCGUAUUUUCCAUCUGAAUUGUAAGAAAACAGUUAAAUUAAUUAGUAAUUUAAGAUUGGGAGAGGUUACCGUUAAGAAACAGGAUGAGGAGAUAGAAACCCAGCGCAUUACGG